Molecule: ribosomal RNA, 207 nt
Filed under: uncultured bacterium
Lineage: Bacteria
Description: partial 16S ribosomal RNA
Rfam family: Bacterial small subunit ribosomal RNA
Source: RNAcentral
CGUGCAGGCGGAUGGUUAAGUUACUUAUGAAAGCUCCUGGCUAAACUGGGAGAGGUUGAGUGAAACUGGUCAUCUAGAGUGGAUGAGAGGUGAAGAGAAUUCCUUGUGUAGUGGUGAAAUGCGUAGAUAUGAGGAAGAAUAUCGGUGGCGAAGGCGCUUCACUGGCAUCCAACUGACGCUCAGACGCGAAAGCAUGGGUAGCGAACG